Molecule: ribosomal RNA, 914 nt
Filed under: Salmonella enterica subsp. enterica serovar Ago
Lineage: Bacteria; Pseudomonadati; Pseudomonadota; Gammaproteobacteria; Enterobacterales; Enterobacteriaceae
Description: partial 23S ribosomal RNA
Rfam family: Bacterial large subunit ribosomal RNA
Source: RNAcentral
AGACUCAGUGAAAUUGAACUCGCUGUGAAGAUGCAGUGUACCCGCGGCAAGACGGAAAGACCCCGUGAACCUUUACUAUAGCUUGACACUGAACACUGGUCCUUGAUGUGUAGGAUAGGUGGGAGGCUUUGAAGCGCGGACGCCAGUUCGUGUGGAGCCAUCCUUGAAAUACCACCCUUUAAUGGCUGGUGUUCUAACGUGGGCCCGUAAUCCGGGUUGCGGACAGUGUCUGGUGGGUAGUUUGACUGGGGCGGUCUCCUCCUAAAGAGUAACGGAGGAGCACGAAGGUUAGCUAAUCCUGGUCGGACAUCAGGAGGUUAGUGCAAAGGCAUAAGCUAGCUUGACUGCGAGCGUGACGGCGCGAGCAGGUGCGAAAGCAGGUCUUAGUGAUCCGGUGGUUCUGAAUGGAAGGGCCAUCGCUCAACGGAUAAAAGGUACUCCGGGGAUAACAGGCUGAUACCGCCCAAGAGUUCAUAUCGACGGCGGUGUUUGGCACCUCGAUGUCGGCUCAUCACAUCCUGGGGCUGAAGUAGGUCCCAAGGGUAUGGCUGUUCGCCAUUUAAAGUGGUACGCGAGCUGGGUUUAGAACGUCGUGAGACAGUUCGGUCCCUAUCUGCCGUGGGCGCUGGAGAAUUGAGGGGGGCUGCUCCUAGUACGAGAGGACCGGAGUGGACGCAUCACUGGUGUUCGGGUUGUCAUGCCAAUGGCAUUGCCCGGUAGCUAAAUGCGGGAGAGAUAAGUGCUGAAAGCAUCUAAGCACGAAACUUGCCCCGAGAUGAGUUCUCCCUGACCCUUUAAGGGUCCUGAAGGAACGUUGAAGACGACGACGUUGAUAGGUCGGGUGUGUAAGCGUAGCGAUACGUUGAGCUAACCGAUACUAAUGAACCGUGAGGCUUAACCUUACAACGCCGAAG